CAAGGUAUAGCUUAAUCAAAGCCUCUUGCUUACACCAAGACUAUAUCUGUUAAACCCGGAUUACCUUGA
Molecule: transfer RNA, 69 nt
Filed under: Xenopus wittei (Witte's clawed frog)
Lineage: Eukaryota; Metazoa; Chordata; Amphibia; Anura; Pipidae
Description: tRNA-Val
Source: RNAcentral